AGCUCAGUGUCCCAUUGUGGAGCGCCUGACUAACUCCAUGAUGAUGCACGGCCGCAACAACGGCAAGAAGCUCAUGACUGUGCGCAUCGUCAAGCAUGCCUUCGAGAUCAUACACCUGCUCACAGGCGAGGUAGGGCUCUGUGGCCUGGUGAGGGUAGGCUGUGCCCUCAGUACACCCCAAAGCCCCACGGAGUGUAUGCCAGGCUUAUCCCCUGUGUGGUGUGGCCACUCUUGUUUUAGGUGUGAGAAAAGGGGAGGAAUGCAUGGGGCUGGAUGUCAGGCUCAUAUCCCCCUUCUCUCUAGAACCCUCUGCAGGUCCUGGUGAAUGCCAUCAUCAACAGUGGUCCCCGGGAGGACUCCACACGCAUUGGGCGCGCCGGGACUGUGAGACGACAGGCUGUGGAUGUGUCCCCACUGCGCCGUGUGAACCAGGUGAGCCUGGGGCUUAUGCACGUGGCAGGGUGGACACAACCACAGGAGUGGGUGGGGUCUUGCCUGGGGCAGGAAGGCUCGUCUCUGUCUGCAUGUUUUACCUGCAGCAUCACUUCCUCUAGGAAGCCUUCCUGGAUUCCCACCCUGCAUAGGGGCUGAUCCAGGCUCUGGGUCCUCUUCUGGAUCACAUUUGGCAGAGGUCUUCUUUCUUUCCUUUGGGUGUAUUAUUUUUACACUGUGUGUGUAUAUGUACUUUUUUCUUUUUUUUUUCUUGGACAUUUUGAGAAUCAGUUGCAGACAUUUUGAUUGUGUUUCCCCUGAACACAACAGGUGUCUUAAGAACAAAGAUGACCUACCCGCAUCGUCACCCCCAGGAAGGAAUUUAACAGCAAUAGUCGUCGUUCCAUGUAGCAUCUGUGCCCAGAAUGCCAGAAUGCACUUUAUAGUGGCUCAUUGUCAAUUGGGUCCAAGUUAAAAGCAAAUAUAUUGCCUUUUUUUUUUUUUUUUUAAUUUUUUUAAAGAAAUAAUUGAGAUGGAAUCUCAGGGUGUUCUUGAACUCCUGGUCUCAAAUGAUCCUGUCCCUUCAGCCUCCCAAAGUGCUAGGAUUACAGGCAUGAGCCACCACACCUGGCCGCCUUUUUUGUUGUCGUUGGUUUUUUUGUUGUUUGUAGAGGUGGGGUUUCACCAAGUUGCUCAGGCUGGUCUCAAACUCCCUGCCGAAGUGUUCCUCCUGCCUCAGCAUCCUGAAGUGUUACAGGCGCAAGCCACCGCGCCCGGCCGUCUAGCAGUUUGCUGUUGAGGCAGGUCUCAAUCUCCUGUCAUUGGGGACGCAACUUCAGCCUGUGUGUGUGUGUGUCUGGACACUUGCUCUUGUGACCCUCUAUCUGAUUGCAAAUCAGGCAUGAUGCCACCUCCUCUUGUCUCAGUGGGCCUAUGGGUGACAACAUGGCUGGCAGCAUCAGUUGGGGGUGGGCCCAGGGUGCUGGAGGACCGCAGUCUGUCCUUUUAGCCUGACCCCUGCUCUCUUCCUAGGCCAUCUGGCUGCUGUGCACAGGCGCUCGUGAGGCUGCCUUCCGGAACAUUAAGACCAUUGCUGAGUGCCUGGCAGAUGAGCUCAUCAAUGCUGCCAAGGUGGGUGAGGGCACUCUGGUUGGGGGGGUCUUAAGUUGGGCAUUUGUGGGGGUCCUUCAGAAUUCAGAGCUAACUGUCUGUCUCCUUGCAGGGCUCCUCCAACUCUUAUGCCAUUAAGAAGAAGGACGAGCUGGAGCGUGUGGCCAAGUCCAACCGCUGAUUUUCCCAGCUGCUGCCCAAUAAACCUGUCUGCCCUUUGGGGCAGCCCCACC
RNAcentral lists this small RNA (1775 nucleotides) under Pongo abelii (Sumatran orangutan). RNAcentral's name for it is "retained intron". The record is from RNAcentral. Lineage: Eukaryota; Metazoa; Chordata; Mammalia; Primates; Hominidae.